GCACCAGUGGUCUAAGUGGUAGAAUAGUACCCUGCCACGGUACAGACCCGGGUUUGAUUCCCGGCUGGUGCA
This 72-nucleotide transfer RNA is filed under the name Ipomoea nil (Japanese morning glory). It matches the Rfam family "tRNA". Rfam says of the family: Transfer RNA (tRNA) molecules are approximately 80 nucleotides in length. Lineage: Eukaryota; Viridiplantae; Streptophyta; Magnoliopsida; Solanales; Convolvulaceae. The record is from Rfam by way of RNAcentral.